This 237-nucleotide ribosomal RNA is filed under the name uncultured Staphylococcus sp. RNAcentral's name for it is "partial 16S ribosomal RNA". It matches the Rfam family "Bacterial small subunit ribosomal RNA", at positions 103 to 334 of the family's 1533-position model. Lineage: Bacteria; Bacillati; Bacillota; Bacilli; Caryophanales; Staphylococcaceae. The record is from RNAcentral.
CGGGUGAGUAAUACGUGGAUAACCUACCUAUAAGACUGGGAUAACUUCGGGAAACCGGAGCUAAUACCGGAUAAUAUUUUGAACCGCAUGGUUCAAAAGUGAAAGACGGUCUUGCUGUCACUUAUAGAUGGAUCCGCGCUGCAUUAGCUGGUUGGUAAGGUAACGGCUUACCAAGGCAACGAUGCAUAGCCGACCUGAGAGGGUGAUCGGCCACACUGGAACUGAGACACGGUCCAG